AUGCUGGAAAAGCAAUAGAUGGAAGAUUGAUUAUUGAUGUUGUAUAUUGAUGUUGUAUUUGAAUUGUUUCAUUUUAAAGUGUUGUUAGCUGCCCAGAGUGGUCAAUUGACCAGAUGGGUGGGAUAUAAAUAAAAUGAAUCAAUCAAUCAAUCAAUUAAUCAAUCAAUCAAUCAAUUAAUCAAUCAAUCAAUCAAUUAAUCAAUCAAUCAAUCAAUCAAUCCCAAACAAGUCUCUGUAAUAUGUGAUGGGUGUAACUACUGCAACUUUGCUUACCCUUUUGAUUUUGCUCCAUUCCUAUUUCAGAAAGAAUUCAGAGACUUUGGCGCUGGUGCAGGCUGGGCAGGUAGAUGCCUCCAAGGCAAGCUACUCCGUCCAGAUCCGCCAAGCUCUGACUCACCCUGGUUCACUGGAGCAGCAGGAUCUUCACAACUUGGGGCUUUUGGAACUGGAGGAACCACUGGAAUUUGGGCCCCUUGUUGGACCCAUCUGUCUCUUAGACAAGGCGGAUACAAUGGCUAAUUUCAGAGACUGUUGGCUGCCAGGCUGGACUAUGCUGGAUGGUGAGUGCUAGCAGGUAUCUGUUUCGAGUAGAGCACUGACUUGCAGCUGGUGGUAACCUGUGAUACCCUGGAGGAGGUGUCUCUAGGACUGGGAGCUAGAACUGACUGCUUCUCAUGGCCUGGCCAGUGUAUUAUCCUUUUUUAAUGGCACUCCUUGUUAGAUCAUUCCUGGUGAUCAUCCAUGAGUGCAUUGGUGUAUUUGAAUAACCUAAUAUCAAGCCCAGAAUAUGCUAAGCGCAUAUGCUCUCCUUGUACUCCAGGAGGUCCUACUGUGCUGUUGAAGCAUCAUUUAGACAUCCUGAACAUCAGCAAGUGCAGCCAGCUUGGGGACCAGCUCCCCAAUGCUACCUUUUGCAUCAAUGCCCAGGUGGGCCAGGAAGGAAUCUGCAAGGGUGAUGUGGGCUCUCCACUGAUCUGUUCUGACCCCAAGGGUGGGGCAUGGCUUCAGCUGGGGGUAUUAAGCAGCUUCGAUGAAGCUUGCUCCCAUCCCUAUGUGUUCAGCAGCCUGCCCUUCUACUUGCCCUGGCUGAAGAGGGCCACAAAGGCUGCUGGGCAUCGUUACAACCUCUUUGUCCCUUGGGAACGGCUGGGCGCUGCAAAUAAUCUUCGUCUGCUAAGGCAACCAGAGUGUGAGUAGCAGCUUAAUGAUUGAUCUGAUUUAGUACCAUCUCCCUAGUCCUCCAGGUCAGUGUAAAAGGCUUGGGACCCCAAUAUCUGCUGGAAUGUCUCUCCUACAAAAUGGCUACACAUCCAACCUAUUCAAGAAAAUCAUCACUAAAAACUGGGCAUUUUCUAUUGUGGCCCCAUAUCUUUGGAGUAAAUUGCCAGGUUUGCCAGGUGCCUUCCCUCCCAGUUUUUAAGGAAUUAUAAGAACAGAGUUGU
Molecule: long non-coding RNA, 1442 nt
Filed under: Pogona vitticeps (central bearded dragon)
Lineage: Eukaryota; Metazoa; Chordata; Lepidosauria; Squamata; Agamidae
Description: lncRNA (ENSPVIG00000025320.1)
Source: RNAcentral